GACAGAGGAUGCGAACGUUGCUCGGAAUUACUGGGCGUAAAGCGCGCGCAGGUUGCCUUGUAAGUCGUGUGUGAAAUCCCUCUGCUCAACGGAGGAAGUGCACGGGAUACUGCAAGGCUGGAGUACAGAAGAGGACAGCGGAAUUCCCGGUGUAGAGGUGAAAUUCGUAGAUAUCGGGAGGAACACCAGUGGCGAAGGCGGCUGUCUGGGCUGAUACUGACACUGAGGCGCGAAAGCGUGGGAAGCAAACAGG
RNAcentral lists this ribosomal RNA (253 nucleotides) under uncultured bacterium. RNAcentral describes it as "partial 16S ribosomal RNA". It matches the Rfam family "Bacterial small subunit ribosomal RNA", at positions 524 to 776 of the family's 1533-position model. The record is from RNAcentral.